UGGGGAAUAUUGCACAAUGGGGGAAACCCUGAUGCAGCGACGCCGCGUGGAGGAAGAAGGUCUUCGGAUUGUAAACUCCUGUUGUUGGGGAAGAUAAUGACGGUACCCAACAAGGAAGUGACGGCUAACUACGUGCCAGCAGCCGCGGUAAUACGUAGGGAGCAAGCGUUGUCCGGAUUUACUGGGUGUAAAGGGUGCGUAGGCGGCUUUGCAAGUCAGAUGUGAAAUCUAUGGGCUCAACCCAUAAACUGCAUUUGAAACUGUAGAGCUUGAGUGAAGUAGAGGCAGGCGGAAUUCCCCGUGUAGCGGUGAAAUGCGUAGAGAUGGGGAGGAACACCAGUGGCGAAGGCGGCCUGCUGGGCUUUAACUGACGCUGAGGCACGAAAGCGUGGGUAGCAAACAGGAUUAGAUACCCUGGUAGUCCACGCUGUAAACGAUGAUUACUAGGUGUGGGGGGUCUGACCCCUUCCGUGCCGGAGUUAACACAAUAAGUAAUCCACCUGGGGAGUACGGCCGCAAGGUUGAAACUCAAAGGAAUUGACGGGGGCCCGCACAAGCAGUGGAGUAUGUGGUUUAAUUCGAAGCAACGCGAAGAACCUUACCAGGUCUUGACAUCCAACUAACGAAGUAGAGAUACAUUAGGUGCCCUUCGGGGAAAGUUGAGACAGGUGGUGCAUGGUUGUCGUCAGCUCGUGUCGUGAGAUGUUGGGUUAAGUCCCGCAACGAGCGCAACCCUUGCUAUUAGUUGCUACGCAAGAGCACUCUAAUAGGACUGCCGUUGACAAAACGGAGGAAGGUGGGGACGACGUCAAAUCAUCAUGCCCCUUAUGACCUGGGCUACACACGUACUACAAUGGAUGUUAACAGAGGGAAGCAAGACAGCGAUGUGGAGCAAACCCCUAAAAACAUUCUCAGUUCAGAUUGCAGGCUGCAACCCGCCUGCAUGAAGAUGGAAUUGCUAGUAAUCGCGGAUCAGCAUGCCGCGGUGAAUACGUUCCC
RNAcentral lists this ribosomal RNA (999 nucleotides) under uncultured organism. RNAcentral's name for it is "bacterial SSU rRNA". It matches the Rfam family "Bacterial small subunit ribosomal RNA", at positions 355 to 1375 of the family's 1533-position model. The record is from RNAcentral.